GACGAACGCUGGCGGCGUGCUUAACACAUGCAAGUCGAACGAUGAAGCGCCAGCUUGCUGGUGUGGGUUAGUGGCGAACGGGUGAGUAACACGUGAGUAACCUGCCCCCUACUCUGGGAUAACCCUGGGAAACUGGGUCUAUUACUGGAUAUGACCAAUCACUGCAUGGUGGGUUGGUGGAAAGAUGUUGUGUUGGGGGAUGGACUCGCGGCCUAUCAGCUUGUUGGUGGGGUAAUGGCCUACCAAGGCGACGACGGGUAGCCGGCCUGAGAGGGCGACCGGCCACACUGGGACUGAGACACGGCGCAGACUGCUACGGGAGGCAGCAGUGGGGAAUAUUGCACAAUGGGCGAAAGCCUGAUGCAGCGACGCCGCGUGAGGGAUGACGGCCUGCGGGUUGUAAACCUCUUUCCCCAGGGACGAAGCUGACGUGACGGUACCUGGAGAAGAAGCACCGGCUAACUACGUG
Molecule: ribosomal RNA, 469 nt
Filed under: uncultured bacterium
Lineage: Bacteria
Description: partial 16S ribosomal RNA
Rfam family: Bacterial small subunit ribosomal RNA
Source: RNAcentral